RNAcentral lists this ribosomal RNA (604 nucleotides) under uncultured Lactobacillus sp. RNAcentral's name for it is "bacterial SSU rRNA". It matches the Rfam family "Bacterial small subunit ribosomal RNA", at positions 60 to 631 of the family's 1533-position model. The record is from RNAcentral. Lineage: Bacteria; Bacillati; Bacillota; Bacilli; Lactobacillales; Lactobacillaceae.
AGUCGAGCGAGCCGAACUAAUUGAUUACCUUCGGGUAUGAAGUUAGGGAAGCGAGCGGCGGAUGGGUGAGUAACACGUGGGUAACCUACCCUAUAGUCUGGGAUACCACUUGGAAACAGGUGCUAAUACCGGAUAAAAGGAGAGAUCACAUGAUUUCUUUUUGAAAGGCGGCGUAAGCUGUCGCUAAAGGAUGGACCCGCGGUGCAUUAGCUAGUUGGUAAAGUAACGGCUUACCAAGGCAACGAUGCAUAGCCGAGUUGAGAGACUGAUCGGCCACAUUGGGACUGAGACACGGCCCAAACUCCUACGGGAGGCAGCAGUAGGGAAUCUUCCACAAUGGACGCAAGUCUGAUGGAGCAACGCCGCGUGAGUGAAGAAGGUUUUCGGAUCGUAAAGCUCUGUUGUUGGUGAAGAAAGAUAGUGAGAGUAACUGCUCAUUAUUUGCCGGUAAUCAACCAGAAAGUCACGGCUAACUACGUGCCAGCAGCCGCGGUAAUACGUAGGUGGCAAGCGUUGUCCGGAUUUAUUGGGCGUAAAGCGAGCGCAGGCGGAAAGAUAAGUCAGAUGUGAAAGCCCUCGGCUUAACCGAGGAAUAGCAUCGGAA